Long non-coding RNA from Panicum virgatum (switchgrass), 1263 nucleotides. RefSeq lists it as uncharacterized. The record is from RefSeq and is a predicted model, not a curated record. NCBI's taxonomy places the organism in Eukaryota, Viridiplantae, Streptophyta, Magnoliopsida, Poales, Poaceae. The transcript is spliced from 2 exons.
AUUCCAUGCGACUGAAUACCAAAAAUUCAUAUCGAUGGCUUUCUGGGAUAAACUGAACGUGAAUGUGAAUAUAAUGGCUAGUGGGAAAUAAGUGGACUGAAAACAGUUUUGUGAUUGAUGUAUGCGGCUGCACGUCAUCCUCUACUAAUGACGUCUGGGAGAAGCAAGAUAUUAACCAGAUGGCCAUACAUACUGGCUUUUAGCCUUUUAAAGCUUGCAGAACAAUUCAAAUUUGGGGAAUAUGCUGAGGUUCACUGGACUUGGCCCUGAAUCUUUUGCUGCUUGUGCUUCACAAUUAUGGUGCAAGGAAUUCUCGUGUUUGAAAAUACCACUGACACAUGACAGUAACUUUCAAUUUGUGCAUAAGUUAAAAGUCCUAGCUGCAACACUUGGACUACCUUCUCAAGCCUCUUGUCAUGACAUUCGGCGUUGGUACCUGUGCCAUUACUAUGCAUCUUCUCCCAGUCUUUCAAGCAGAAUAAUUCCUGUGUUCUAACUUUGGUCUCAACAUUACUUUUACACUAAUUCUUCUUUGGAGUGGUUCCAGUAUCACCUCCACCAGGAGUCCAGGUUUGAUAAUUGGUAUGGUGGUUCAGCCAAGUUGCAUUGGAACUGUUAAGCUUUUCCCAUCGACCACUUUGCUGUUCAAAAAUCAGUAUUUCUUUCACAAAUGAUUAUUUUAUCCUUCCUGCCAUCAUUCCGAAUUCGUGGCCUGUAUCAAGCAUCAACUGCAACAUUUCAUCCCUCAAGUUGUUUAUGAUAAUUGGAGGAAUUUGGCAAGACCUGACUGUACACAGCUUGUGCAAUUGUGCUUAUACAGCAUAAUGUUGGAGCUGCUUCGGUCCUCAAUUCAGCCAACCCCGCCAUGAUAUAUUAGAGCCCAAGAUGAACUAUGUGCCACUAUCUAUCUUGCAGCCCUGCUUCAAAUGCCCAAAAGGUUGAACCAACAUUGGACCAAAAUGGACCCUUUCAUAUUAUCGGCAGUUUCAGGUAGAUAUUCAUGUUCCCUCUACUUAUUUAUAUUGUGUAUGGUAGCUAAGCUAGGGUUAAAUUGACCGUGGUGCACCACUUUGAGGACUUAUAUAAUCUACAUGAAUAUAGGGUGAUUAUGAGGCUAAGUAGUGGUAAAAUAUUUUUUUACCCUGGUGCCCAAUGCACCAGGUUAGAUUAAUGUGGUGUCACACUUGAUUCUAUAUAAAUUAAGUAUACAUGGAAGCAAUAUAUUUUCAUACGAUUGUAAAGUAGCGCAUUACAAAGUUGCAA